GGGGAGUACGAACGCAAGUUUGAAACUCAAAGGGAAUUGACGGGGGCCCGCACAAGCGGUGGAUUAUGUGGUUUAAUUCGAUGAUACGCGAGGAACCUUACCAAGGCUUAAAUGGGAAAUGACAGGUUUAGAAAUAGACUUUUUCUUCGGACAUUUUUCAAGGUGCUGCAUGGUUGUCGUCAGCUCGUGCCGUGAGGUGUUAGGUUAAGUCCUGCAACGAGCGCAACCCCUGUCACUAGUUGCCAUCAUUAAGUUGGGGACUCUAGUGAGACUGCCUACGCAAGUAGAGAGGAAGGUGGGGAUGACGUCAAAUCAUCACGGCCCUUACGCCUUGGGCCACACACGUAAUACAAUGGCCGGUACAGAGGGCAGCUACACAGUGAUGUGAUGCAAAUCUCGAAAGCCGGUCUCAGUUCGGAUUGGAGUCUGCAACUCGACUCUAUGAAGCUGGAAUCGCUAGUAAUCGCGCAUCAGCCAUGGCGCGGUGAAUACGUUCCCGGGCCUUGUACACACCGCCCGUCAAGCCAUGGAAGUCUGGGGUACCUGAAGUCGGUGACCGUAACAGGAGCUGCCUAGGGUAAAACAGGUAACUAGGGCUAAGUCGUAACAAGGUAGCCGUA
This 620-nucleotide ribosomal RNA is filed under the name uncultured organism. RNAcentral describes it as "bacterial SSU rRNA". It matches the Rfam family "Bacterial small subunit ribosomal RNA", at positions 875 to 1504 of the family's 1533-position model. The record is from RNAcentral.